CUGUGCAUGCACUUUUCUAUUUGGUGCUUGUAGACGUUAUGGGAAAGUUGUCUCUCUCCCUACAUCCCCCUCCCCCUUCCCCUUCUAUCCGUCUGUCAUGUGCUAGGGAUAUGCUCAUGCUUUGCACAGAGCAGCCGAAGCACGACUAAUGCAGGCAACUGAGUGUUAACGGCAAUUUUAAAGUAGUGCCCCCCCCCAUCAAAUAUCACGGCUGGGAUAUUUGAGGGGAACAGAUACCGCAUCACGGUUCACAGGGAGCCAUGUGAACACCGCUGCUCUCCCCCUGCUCGGGACGCUUUCUGGACGAUUGCUGUGAUUUCAAUCACCUCGAGGAAUGAUGGAGGAGAACUACGCAGAACUACAGGCAGGAAGUAGAGGUCAAGAUGACAUCUCUGAGAUUUUGCUGUCCAUUGGACCCACAUAAGGUUGGAUGGAGAUCUUGUGGAUUGUGACUCAGAAAUAAAUGGCACAAUGUGUGGAUUCUUCAGGCGUCAAGGAUAUUCAGCUGAGCUCAAAGGGUCAUCCUGAUCAACAAGAGGGGGCUGAAUUUCUUCAAAAUAAGAGCAUCAAGACCUCCAGUGAUAAGCUCUGUGAGCUUAACAUGAUCUGCAACCCUUGAACCUGCACUGUACUUUCCAUUGCUGUAUUUCUGUUAAUUGGCUGCAUAAUACUGCACUACUAGCAGGCCCAGAGUGGGGCCACUUUUCAGUCUGGGAAUUUCAGGCCCAAGAUCGGCUCACUUUAUCUAUAACUGUGUCAUAUACUGCUCUUUCUUACAUUAAAUAACUUUAAUUCA
Long non-coding RNA from Pungitius pungitius (ninespine stickleback), 796 nucleotides. RefSeq lists it as uncharacterized. The transcript has 4 exons. The record is from RefSeq and is a predicted model, not a curated record. Lineage: Eukaryota; Metazoa; Chordata; Actinopteri; Perciformes; Gasterosteidae.